Molecule: long non-coding RNA, 1504 nt
Organism: Megalobrama amblycephala (Wuchang bream)
Lineage: Eukaryota; Metazoa; Chordata; Actinopteri; Cypriniformes; Xenocyprididae
Exons: 3
Source: RefSeq, a predicted model, not a curated record
UGCUCAAACCAAGAGAGCAAAUUACAGCUCUGAGCUCCGAUUCAGCAUAAGACUCAUGUACAUUUAUUGUAUUUGUUCUAGAUGCCUAAAACAGCCAUGCAUGACUCCAUCCAUCUCCGUUUGUAGCGCAAUAGAUUUGCACAAGAUGAGAUGAAGAUAUGCAAAAAACAAUUUGACACAAACGUGCAGAAAUUGUGCUGAAUUGUAACAAUGACUAAAUUGAAGCACUGCUUGACUGGUUUUCAUUUCUUAAAUAUAGGAAUUACAUCUGUUCAUGGCUCUUCAUCAAAAGUUUGACAUCCCUUGUGUUUCUCAUUCCUCUGUACUGGAUACUGGGAUGCACUGCACAGAGACGAUAAUCUCUCUUAGUUUUUAGUGUGGCGUGAGGUUAACCCAGAGAUGAAUGACUGGCACAUGAUUGAGGGUAAAGAGGAGUGUGUUCGCUGCUGUGGGCCUUCACUUUUAUAUUUUCUUCACGGACAAAAAUGCUGGGGUGUCUGAAAGCAGUCUGUAAGUCAUCAUUACUGCUGAGCUGGGCAUGGACCGCUGCUCUGGGUGAGGAGGGAGCUGAUGAACUGAGACCACAACACAACUCCUCAAUGCUGCGCUCAUUUCACCUCUUAUACGAUCUGUUAUCCACAAGGCCGGUGCUCAGGUAAUGCGCAUAAUCACGCAGGGGACAGUAGAGGACGGCUGAGAUGUGAUUGCUUGGCACUUCACUGACGGUCUGACGGUCUGACGGUCUUCCAGUAGAGCUGGAUUCAGGAGAGCACAGGUAAACUAGGCUAAGGGGUGAUCCUCGAACCAUUUCAUCUUCACCCUUCUCGCAUCAAUAUUUGCAACAAAAGCCUGCGGAAACAACAAUGGCAUUACGGUACUGUAUACUUAAUCGCAGAAACUGCAUGGUUGCUAAGUUACUAAGUCCCCGGGGGCCGCCGCAGUCUUUUUAAAUGACGGAGAGGAGCAGUGAAAACUCCAGCCCUCUAUGCUUCACUAUCGAUUUUACACCGGAGAUCCCAGCACUGAUGAUAGGCUUCUGAUAUAUUUUCCUGCUGCAGCCGGUCCCUCGGAGCUUUGCAAGAAAAAUACCUGUCAAUAUGCUCCUAUUAUGAUCUCUUGAUCUGCGGCGAUAAAAACUUUAAGCGUCGGCCCUUAUUGGAGAAUAAUGGGUCGGACUAUUCAAUAUCAAGUGCUGUUGCGAUUCAGGAUUUUUCACAGUAUUGUUUUGUCGGAGAGGAGCGUAACCCUUGGUGGAAUGCUGCGGGCCUCAUUAGUUUGAUUAACUUGCCGCGGAGCACGACGGGCUGUGACAUCACUGGGCUCCAUAGUAAAUAGCGUCUGAUGGGCCGGUCUCGUCGCUGCCUUUCUGGCGUGUCACAGACUGCCUGCCUGCCUCUGCCCCCAGCAGACUGCCCCGCCACUCUCGACGCCCUAUUAGCAAUUUAUAAUGGUGAUCAAAAAGUAGUCAGCAGCGAAUCAAGACGACUGUCUCCACGCUGCACUA